UACGAGGGGGGCGAGCGUUGUUCGGAAUUAUUGGGCGUAAAGGGUGCGUAGGCGGCCUGACAAGUCUGAUGUGAAAUCCCUGGGCUCAACCCAGGGCCUGCAUCGGAAACUGUCGGGCUUGAGUAUGGGAGAGGUGAGUGGAAUUUCCGGUGUAGCGGUGAAAUGCGUAGAUAUCGGAAGGAACACCUGUGGCGAAGGCGGCUCACUGGACCGGAACUGACGCUGAUGCGCGAAAGCGUGGGGAGCAAACGGG
RNAcentral lists this ribosomal RNA (253 nucleotides) under uncultured bacterium. Its description in RNAcentral is "partial 16S ribosomal RNA". It matches the Rfam family "Bacterial small subunit ribosomal RNA", at positions 524 to 776 of the family's 1533-position model. The record is from RNAcentral.